RNAcentral lists this long non-coding RNA (3607 nucleotides) under Panax ginseng (ginseng). Its description in RNAcentral is "long non-coding RNA (PGIN_LNC013498)". The record is from RNAcentral. Lineage: Eukaryota; Viridiplantae; Streptophyta; Magnoliopsida; Apiales; Araliaceae.
UGAGCGGUUUCCAGAUGAAAUGCCCCUUGAGUAAGUUUCGUGUACAGCUUAGUAGUGUAUACAGAGUCUUAUGAUAGAUCUGGCGUAGUUUUGUAUCCAUAUUUAUAUUCGCCAGUGCUUGAGAUGCCUCGUGAAGUCUUUGCGAGGAACAAGGUUAUAUUGUACAUAUAGAUGUAAGGUUUGUGAUGUUAUAUGAAUGUGAGAACCUAUGUGAGCUUAAGAAGGAUGAGAAAAUAUUUGUUCUUAUUUAUUUUCUAAGAUGUUUUUUAGAGAAUGCUCUGCAAAUUUAACUUCAACAUGAUACUCAGAAUGAUCGAAUUUAGGUCCUGAUAUUACUCUGUAUCAAUCCCGCUAGGCCUUCAGUGUUAUUCCCUUGGAAGUGUGGUUAGUGAUACUUUGUUUAUUUUCAUAAAAUACACAAUUCAUCAACAUAUAAGCCAAUAAAGCCAUUGUAAAGUAUUAUUAGUAAAAGAACCGGAACAGAAAAUCUAAAUUCUACAUUAUUUAGCUGCAAAUGGCAACCAACCCUCAAGUGUGCCAUAUUACAGGCAUAAUCAGAGCCGUUGAUUUCUCCCCGAAAUUAAUAGUAGCCUACUAAGCAUGCAAUGCGUCAGGUUUACUGCCUAGCUCGCUGAGCUUGGAGCCAACAGACUGGCUACUGCGGGGCAGAUUGUUCCUGUGGUACCGGCACCUGAAAGAACCGGCGUGUGUGGUUGGUGAGCACAAGCAGUCGUGUUUUAUGCUUGCCGUUUUCUGUAACCCUACAGGUGUUGAUGGUGUUGAUGAUGGAUAUUGUGGGGGGUUCUCAUUCUUCAUACAUAGCUUUUGGCAAAACUAUAGUUGGUGUUGGUUUACGAGGUAUUUCUGUGAUCCUUGGUUCUUCAGCCAUUGGUAGUCCUGCCUGAAACUGCAAGAGAAAAACAUUCAACUUUAUAAUGCUAUUGCAGCAUUCUACCCCUCAUGGUAAAUCCCUUCCCCUACUAACUUUUACAUUUUAUUUUCCUCUUUAUUUUUUACCCCCUUUAUAAAUGAAAAGGUUGAUGAUAUUCAGCCAAGGUUGAGGACCUCUCAGUUAUAAAACAAACAACAGUUUCAAAAAGAAAAAGGUACAAAAUCAAAUAAGAUGCAUUUAAUUGUCAUUAAUAAUUCAUAAAGAUAUUUCUGGCUUCUUUUUUUUUAUUUUUAUUAUUAUUGUUUGUUACUAAUAUUUGACUAAUUGAUAAGCCUAAAAAUUUCAUAUGUGCUAGAAUGCCAAUAAAAAAAGAGUAUAAUAAAUGCUCAUUAUCAUGCAAACCCUUCAGUUAUAAGAGAGACUAGUUUGAAUGGCAUCAAGAGGGUUUCCAUUGAAAGAAACAGAGAAAAAAAAUAAAAAAUAAAAGAGGGAGGAUGGUUUAGACAUUUGAAAACACCAUAAAAAAGGUUUAAUUUUAUUCAUCAGAGUUUCCAAUAAACCAUUUUUUAGAAGAACAUCAUGAAUUAUUUAACAGAAGAGGAUAGUAAUAUGACGUACCAAAAGACAAUGCUAAACUAGUUAAUUGAUCAUAUAGAGGGGUCUCAAAUACUAAUAUGCACAACAUUUUCUACAUUUGAGGGAAUAAAUAUAUAAGUAUCACAUUAAUAAGAAUAGAACUUCUAUUACAGCUAUUGCUGUACAAUGUGUAAGCACCACUGCUGCUGCUACACAUUGUGCCUACACUGAUGAUCACGCUAGUGCAAGUACCAUGGCAACAAUUGGGCGAAGUGAUGAUCAUGCUAGUGCAAGUACUAUGACAACAAUUGGACUAAAGCAGCAUGGACAAAUGAAGCAUUCUCUAAGCAACUGUCUGGAGCAAGCAUGGACAUUUGUUUAAGGCACUGAUUUUACUGCAGUGUUAGUUUAUGUAGAUGGCAUCCUGGUUUUUGGUAGCAAUCAGUCCCAUAUCACUGCUUUAAAGUUGUUUCUUGAUCAGAACUUCAGUAUCAAAGAUCUUGGUAUUAUCAAAUAUUAUUUGGGCAUUGAAGUUCUGCACACUGAUGCUGGCAUGUUUUUAAAUCAAAGGAAAUAUACUCUUGAUUUAGUUCAAGAUGCAGGUCUCUUAGAAGCUAAACCUCUAUCCAUUCCUAUGGACACUAAUAAAAGACUCAAGUCUGAUGAGGGCUUAUUGCUGGAUGAUGGUUCCUUUUAUAGAAGAAUUGUAAACUCAUGUAUCUCACUAUUACAAGACCUGAUUUGAGUUUUGUAGCACAACAUUUGAGUCGGUUUGUUUCAGCUCCUAGAGAGCCUCGCUUCAAGGCUUUACUAAGAGUCAUCAGAUAUGUUAAAAGUACAGCAAGUCAAGGUCUACAAUUCUCAUUUGAUAAUCCUCUUCACUUAACUACCUACUGUGAUAGUGACUGGGGUACCUGCAAAGCCUCUUGAAGAUCCAUUACUGGCUCUUUUUUUUCUUAGGCUCUUCUCUUAUUUCUUGGCAAUCCAAGAAACAAACUGUUGUCUCUCGAUCCUCAGCUGAAGCUGAAUAUAGAUCUCUUGCCAUGACGACUUGUGAACUGCUCUGGCUCCAUGGUUUGUUGAAAAAAAUUUUUGGUUUCUGUUUCAUUACCUACACUAGUCAUGGUUGAUAAAGAGGUUGCAAUCAGUUUAGUCUCCAAUCCAGUUCAACAUGCUCGCACCAAACAUAUUGAGGUCUACUGUCACUUUGUUGGGGACAAAGUUCUCGAGGGUGUUCUUCAGCCCACUUUUAUUUCUACUACAGCUCAGUUGGCAGACAUCUUUACAAAAUCCCUUGCUCGCUAUCCUUACUGGCAGAUUAUAUCCAAGUUGGGUAUGCACAACCCGUGUGCUCCUCCAACUUGUGGGGGGAUAAUAAGAAUAGUACUUCUAUUACAGCAAUUGCUGCACAAUGUGUAAGCACCACUGCUGCUGCUACACAUUGUGCCCACACUGAUGAUCAUGCUAGUGCAAGUAUUGCGACAACAAUUGGACUAAAGCAGCAUGGACAAAUGAAGCAUUCUCUAGGCAAAUGUCUGAGGAUCACAGCCGUUCCCCAGAUUGGACGAAGUAAGUCGGUGGAUACUAAAACUCCACAUGGUGGAGUUGAGAGACACAAGAAUAACCCCACAAUCUACAGACUACAGUUGUUUAUUCUAAUUGUAGUUAACUUAUGUAAUCAUAGUAAAGUUGGUAAGUUAGGUUCACAGUUACUAAUUCAGUUUAAUAGCAACUAGUAGGUUCGUUAUUACGCAGAAUAUAAAUAGCUAUUGUAAUCUUCAUUUCCCGUAAUUUUUCUGAAUGAAUAUACUUAGGGUUUUUAGUUUGUUUAGACACAUCGAAUGCAGAUUUAUCUUCACCAAAAUUAGGAUUUAGCCUUUAGUUCUAGAAACUUACGUAUGUCAAAAUGAUCAGAUCAAGAAUUAUGAAAAUUGAAUACAGAAUUACCUGAGGAUGCUUAUAUUUUUCAGGGUUUUGCCUAUGGCGGCAACUUUCCUUUCCUUUCCUUUCCUUUUGCUUGAUGAAUAAUGGCAGGAGAUACACAGAAAGAGCAAACAAAUUAUGCCAUUAUUAAGGGGGUCUCUUUUUGAAGGAAAUUUUAUAAUAAGUCCUCCAUUUCGGGCCUCUUUUUUACGAAAG